GCACCGGCCUGGCGGGCCUCGGCGAACGCCUCGCCGCCGCCGGCGGCGAGUUCGCGGCCGGUCCCGCGGGCGACGGGACGUUCCGGGUGACCGCCGCCGUCCC
RNAcentral lists this transfer RNA (103 nucleotides) under Actinomadura madurae. RNAcentral's name for it is "tRNA-Gly(gcc)". Lineage: Bacteria; Bacillati; Actinomycetota; Actinomycetes; Streptosporangiales; Thermomonosporaceae. The record is from RNAcentral.